RNAcentral lists this ribosomal RNA (253 nucleotides) under uncultured bacterium. RNAcentral describes it as "partial 16S ribosomal RNA". It matches the Rfam family "Bacterial small subunit ribosomal RNA", at positions 524 to 776 of the family's 1533-position model. The record is from RNAcentral.
UACAGAGGGGGCAAGCGUUGUUCGGAAUUACUGGGUGUAAAGGGCGCGUAGGCGGCCCGCUAAGUCGAACGUGAAAUCCCCGGGCUCAACCCGGGAACUGCGUCCGAUACUGGUGGGCUUGAAUCCGGGAGAGGGAUGCGGAAUUCCAGGUGUAGCGGUGAAAUGCGUAGAUAUCUGGAGGAACACCGAUGGCGAAGGCAGCUCGCUGGAACGUUACUGACGCUGAGACGCGAAAGCGUGGGGAGCAAACAGG